RNAcentral lists this long non-coding RNA (351 nucleotides) under Piliocolobus tephrosceles (Ugandan red Colobus). RNAcentral describes it as "lncRNA (ENSPTEG00000029007.1)". The record is from RNAcentral. Lineage: Eukaryota; Metazoa; Chordata; Mammalia; Primates; Cercopithecidae.
AUGGCAGAAAAAGAUCCCGUGGAAAGUAACAAUGAUACAUUAAACGAAACUGCUAUAUUUGAAGCGCUAACGAAUGUAACUGAAGGUAAUGUAGAAAAUAUGGAUGAAAACGGGUCACCCUUUAGUAGUAUUUUGCAAAAUCGUAGAUUAAUGGGAUUAGAAGGCGCAGCAAGCUUAGCUGUAUUAUAUUUGGUAUUUAUUGUUUGGAUGAUUAUUUUGAUAUUUUUAUAUUUGCUUAUAAGUCGGAGGCUUUAUGGAAUGCAAAGAUCGAAUAAAAAAAAAAGUUGAUCGUCGUAGAAAGAGAUAAAGUCAUCGAAACGAAACAUGCAAUAAACAGAGAUACAUUUAACA